Molecule: long non-coding RNA, 357 nt
Filed under: Cricetulus griseus (Chinese hamster)
Lineage: Eukaryota; Metazoa; Chordata; Mammalia; Rodentia; Cricetidae
Description: lncRNA (ENSCGRG00015040896.1)
Source: RNAcentral
CUCCACUCCUGCUCCAGCGGCACAAUGUGAUCCACCAGCAAGGAGGGACACCAAUAAGGCGUCUGAUAAGUGCCCUAUCUAUUUGAUCUCUGGUAAGGACUUCAUGACUGUGUGGUACAUUAUAGAAGAAGCUCCUGGAAGAGGAGACAUGUGGUGAGAGAAGAAGCCAGAGAGGAGUAAGAGACCUGGGUGGUAGUGAAUUACAUAAAUGCUAUCAGCAAGGAUGUGAACAAAAGUUCAUCUGGAGUUUUCUAAAUAAGUGUUCAAAUACAAGAACAAGGCAAGGAAGAGUUUUUUGAGACACAUCUUCCUAAAGAGAAACAACCUCAAUAAAGUGUACCAUGGCACUCCAAGCCC